Molecule: non-coding RNA, 80 nt
Organism: Rahnella aquatilis
Lineage: Bacteria; Pseudomonadati; Pseudomonadota; Gammaproteobacteria; Enterobacterales; Yersiniaceae
Source: Rfam
CCCCGUAAGUUUGUGAGACACGUUCAGUGUCCCGCAAACUUACGGGGAUCUUUUCCGUCUGCAACGAGGAACCGCUCGUG